UGGCUCAGGACGAACGCUGGCGGCGCGCCUAACACCUGCAAGUCGAACGGAGAUUACAGGCGGAAGUUUUCGGAUGGAAGCUUGUAAACUUAGUGGCGGACGGGUGAGUAACACCUGAGCAACCUGCCUAUCAGAGGGGGAUAACGAUUGGAAACGAUCGCUAAUACCGCAUGACAUAGCGGAACCGCAUGGUCCUGUUAUCAAAGAUUUUAUCGCUGAUAGAUGGGCUCGCGUCCGAUUAGAUAGUUGGUGGGGUAACGGCCUACCAAGUCGACGAUCGGUAGCCGGACUGAGAGGUCGAACGGCCACAUUGGGACUGAGACACGGCCCAGACUCCUACGGGAGGCAGCAGUGGGGGAUAUUGCACAAUGGGGGAAACCCUGAUGCAGCGACGCCGCGUGAGGGAAGACGGUCCUCUGGAUUGCAAACCUCUGUCUUCGGGGACGAAACGAGACGGUACCCGAGGAGGAAGCCACGGCUAACUACGUGCCAGCAGCCGCGGUAAUACGUAGGUGGCAAGCGUUGUCCGGAACUACUGGGUGUAAAGGGAGCGUAGGCGGGCAGGCAAGUCAGGCGUGAAAUAUAUCGGCUCAACCGGUAACGGCGCUUGAAACUGCAGGUCUUGAGUGAAGUAGAGGCUGGCGGAAUUCCUAGUGUAGCGGUGAAAUGCGUAGAUAUUAGGAGGAACACCAGUGGCGAAGGCGGCCAACUGGGCUUUUACUGACGCUGAGGCUCGAAAGUGUGGGGAGCAAACAGGAUUAGAUACCCUGGUAGUCCACACCGUAAACGAUGAUUACUAGGUGUGGGGGGACUGACCCCUUCCGUGCCGGAGUUAACGCAAUAAGUAAUCCACCUGGGGAGUACGGCCGCAAGGUAACGGGUCAAAGGAAUUGACGGA
RNAcentral lists this ribosomal RNA (898 nucleotides) under uncultured Bacillota bacterium. Its description in RNAcentral is "bacterial SSU rRNA". It matches the Rfam family "Bacterial small subunit ribosomal RNA", at positions 20 to 917 of the family's 1533-position model. Lineage: Bacteria; Bacillati; Bacillota. The record is from RNAcentral.